GUGGUUGUAGCUCAAUGGUAGAGCGCUAGGUUGUGGACCUAGAGGUUGCGGGUUCGAUCCCCGUCAGCCACC
Molecule: transfer RNA, 72 nt
Filed under: bacterium
Lineage: Bacteria
Description: tRNA-His
Rfam family: tRNA
About the family: Transfer RNA (tRNA) molecules are approximately 80 nucleotides in length. Their secondary structure includes four short double-helical elements and three loops (D, anti-codon, and T loops). Further hydrogen bonds mediate the characteristic L-shaped molecular structure. tRNAs have two regions of fundamental functional importance: the anti-codon, which is responsible for specific mRNA codon recognition, and the 3' end, to which the tRNAs corresponding amino acid is attached (by aminoacyl-tRNA synthetases). tRNAs cope with the degeneracy of the genetic code in two manners: having more than one tRNA (with a specific anti-codon) for a particular amino acid; and 'wobble' base-pairing, i.e. permitting non-standard base-pairing at the 3rd anti-codon position.
Source: RNAcentral